This 406-nucleotide ribosomal RNA is filed under the name uncultured bacterium. RNAcentral describes it as "partial 16S ribosomal RNA". It matches the Rfam family "Bacterial small subunit ribosomal RNA", at positions 30 to 526 of the family's 1533-position model. The record is from RNAcentral.
AUUGAACGCUGGCGGCAGGCCUAACACAUGCAAGUCGAACGAGUGGCGGACGGGUGAGUAAUGUCUGGGAAACUGCCUGAUGGAGGGGGAUAACUACUGGAAACGGUAGCUAAUACCGCAUACCAUCAGAUGUGCCCAGAUGGGCUUAGCUAGUUGGUGGGGUAACGGCUCACCAAGGCGACGAUCCCUAGCUGGUCUGAGAGGAUGACCAGCCACACUGGAAAUGAGAAACGGUGCAGACUCCUAAGGGAGGGAGCAGGGGGGAAUAUUUGAACAAGGGCGCAAGGCUGAUGCAGCCAUGCCGCGUGUAUGAAGAAGGCCUUCGGGUUGUAAAGUACUUUCAGCGGGGAGGCGUUACCCGCAGAAGAAGCACCGGCUAACUCCGUGCCAGCAGCCGCGGUAAUUC